UGCUUACACAUGCAAGUCGAACGGAAAGGCCCUGCUUUUGUGGGGUGCUCGAGUGGCGAACGGGUGAGUAACACGUGCGUAACCUGCCCUUGACUUUGGGAUAACUUCAGGAAACUGGGGCUAAUACCGGAUAGGAGCUCCUGCUGCAUGGUGGGGGUUGGAAAGUUUCGGCGGUUGGGGAUGGACUCGCGGCUUAUCAGCUUGUUGGUGGGGUAGUGGCUUACCAAGGCUUUGACGGGUAGCCGGCCUGAGAGGGUGACCGGCCACAUUGGGACUGAGAUACGGCCCAGACUCCUACGGGAGGCAGCAGUGGGGAAUAUUGCACAAUGGGCGGAAGCCUGAUGCAGCAACGCCGCGUGCGGGAUGACGGCCUUCGGGUUGUAAACCGCUUUCGCCUGUGACGAAGCGUGAGUGACGGUAAUGGGUAAAGAAGCACCGGCUAACUACGUGCCAGCAGCCGCGGUGAUACGUAGGGUGCGAGCGUUGUCCGGAUUUAUUGGGCGUAAAGGGCUCGUAGGUGGUUGAUCGCGUCGGAAGUGUAAUCUUGGGGCUUAACCCUGAGCGUGCUUUCGAUACGGGUUGACUUGAGGAAGGUAGGGGAGAAUGGAAUUCCUGGUGGAGCGGUGGAAUGCGCAGAUAUCAGGAGGAACACCAGUGGCGAAGGCGGUUCUCUGGGCCUUUCCUGACGCUGAGGAGCGAAAGCGUGGGGAGCGAACAGGCUUAGAUACCCUGGUAGUCCACGCUGUAAACGGUGGGUACUAGGUGUGGGGUCCAUUCCACGGGUUCCGUGCCGUAGCUAACGCUUUAAGUACCCCGCCUGGGGAGUACGGCCGCAAGGCUAAAACUCAAAGGAAUUGACGGGGCCCCGCACAAGCGGCGGAGCAUGCGGAUUAAUUCGAUGCAACGCGUAGAACCUUACCUGGGUUUGACAUGGAUCGGGAGUGCUCAGAGAUGGGUGUGCCUCUUUUGGGGUCGGUUCACAGGUGGUGCAUGGCUGUCGUCAGCUCGUGUCGUGAGAUGUUGGGUUAAGUCCCGCAACGAGCGCAACCCUUGUUCACUGUUGCCAGCACGUUAUGGUGGGGACUCAGUGGAGACCGCCGGGGUCAACUCGGAGGAAGGUGGGGAUGACGUCAAGUCAUCAUGCCCCUUAUGUCCAGGGCUUCACGCAUGCUACAAUGGCUGGUACAGAGAGUGGCGAGCCUGUGAGGGUGAGCGAAUCUCGGAAAGCCGGUCUCAGUUCGGAUUGGGGUCUGCAACUCGACCUCAUGAAGUCGGAGUCGCUAGUAAUCGCAGAUCAGCAACGCUGCGGUGAAUACGUUCCCGGGGCUUGUACACACCGCCCGUCAAGUCAUGAAAGUUGGUAACACCCGAAGCCGGUGGCCUAACCGAUGUGGGGGAGCCGUCGAAGGUGGGACUGGUGAUUA
This 1424-nucleotide ribosomal RNA is filed under the name uncultured organism. RNAcentral describes it as "partial small subunit ribosomal RNA". It matches the Rfam family "Bacterial small subunit ribosomal RNA". The record is from RNAcentral.